UAAAUAUUUAAUUAGAAUAGAAGUUAGCUUAGUAUCCAUGUGGCAAAGAAGCGAGCUAAAGCAUAUAGGUCGUGGAACAUUUUCGGGUAAUACAUCGUAUAGUGAGUAGCUACAUUUUGUACAAGCAAAGAAGAUGUGGUCCAAGUUGCCCUCAUCCAACCCACAUUCACACAAUGAGUUCGCACGGACACCAAUCAUAGCCAGAAAUAAUGGAGUACAUACUUUGCCUAAGCGUAAACGGCAAAUGGUGGAUAUUACCCACUUUGGAGAAGUACGGAAUCGAUAGAACCAUGGUUUUCGAGUAAUUCGAGGUUGUACACAGCCAUAAUGUUUACCAGUCUCCAAUCUAGAGAUAUCCCAUUGCCUCUGCCAUGUAUUAAACAUAUCAGAUAGCGCACCACUCAACAGCCUCAAGAAUAGCAACUGCCUCACCUGUGAAAAUGGACGCUUGAGGAGGACAUUUAAAUGGAAGGACGAUAUUGUACCGUGGAAUCCACACCGCUGCUCCCACACAUCUUGCAGGAUCCACCUUAGAAGCGUCAGUAAAAACCGUGACCUCCAGUGCCAGCGCCUGCAAGCGUGGGAGCAGCAAGUGGUUGUUGUAAGAGCUGGCUUUGAUCAAGAACCUGUCGGCGAGGUAUUGUCUGCGUAGAGCCAACGGCGGUUCAACACCUUCCACCUGCAUGCCAUUUUUGGGAGAGGGAAGCAUAGCACCUAGUAUGAUCCUUAAACAUUUAGCCUGUAUAAGAUCUAAUUUAUCUAGACCAUCCUUAUUACAGGGUUCCAUUAAAAAUGACCCAUAGUCUAUAUGGCUACGUAUGAUGGCAUUGUAUAGUAGCUUCUGGCAAUAAGGAUGGGAGCCCCACCAGACACCUGACAAUGCUCGAAGAAUAUUAAUAUUUUUCUCACAUUUACCCAGUACAUAUUUGUGGUGUGAGGUGCCAGACAUUUUAUGAUCUAAAAUAACACCUAGAAAUUUUACUGACUCUUUAUUUGGAAUCAUCACACCACCAUAACGGACAUCUGCGUCAGGCAUGGUCCUUCUGCGACUGAAAGUCACUACACAGCUUUUUGUUGGCGAUAGGGUCAAACCAUGUUCAUCAAGCCAAUCCUUGAGGUAACCCAAAGCUGUAUUAAGACUAGCAGUGGCUUUGUCCAUUGACUUUGCUGAGGUGUAUAA
Long non-coding RNA from Cydia splendana, 1180 nucleotides. RefSeq lists it as uncharacterized. The record is from RefSeq and is a predicted model, not a curated record. NCBI's taxonomy places the organism in Eukaryota, Metazoa, Arthropoda, Insecta, Lepidoptera, Tortricidae. The transcript has 3 exons.